This 253-nucleotide ribosomal RNA is filed under the name uncultured bacterium. RNAcentral describes it as "partial 16S ribosomal RNA". It matches the Rfam family "Bacterial small subunit ribosomal RNA", at positions 524 to 776 of the family's 1533-position model. The record is from RNAcentral.
UACAGAGACUGCAAGCGUUGUUCGGAUUCAUUGGGCGUAAAGGGUGCGCAGGCGGUUCGUUAAGUCGGAUGUGAAAUCUCACAGCCUAACUGUGAUAGGUCAUUCGAAACUGGCGGACUUGAGGGCUGGAGAGGAGAGUGGAAUUUACGGUGUAGCAGUGAAAUGCGUAGAGAUCGUAAGGAAGACCAGUGGCGAAGGCGGGUCUCUGGACAGUUCCUGACACUGAGGCACGAAGGCCAGGGGAGCAAACGGG